AUGCAACGCACAAUAGAAUCAGAAAUCUUCUUCUUCUCGUCUCUCUCUCAUUCCAAAAAUCCUCUCGUGAAUUUUCUUUCGUACUCUUCCUUCUGCAUUAGGGCUUUCCUUCAUGCUCCACUGUUUCCAUUCUCCGCAGGUGCAGUGCACCCAACGAUAGGGUUUGCUUUUGAUCCCCAAUUUCUAAUAAUGAUCGAAGGGUCUACUUUGGAGGUGAUAAUGUGGAGGGGUUUUUCCAAGCAUCUACAUUUGUAG
Molecule: non-coding RNA, 255 nt
Organism: Vicia faba (fava bean)
Lineage: Eukaryota; Viridiplantae; Streptophyta; Magnoliopsida; Fabales; Fabaceae
Source: the annotation of a GenBank genome assembly